CAGAGUUUUUAUUAAAUUUUAAAAACAUCUUUCAGUUUUGAUGUUCAUAUUUUGUUUUUCAGGAAACACCAUUGGUAUGAAGCAAUAGAAGCCACUUAAAUCUGUAGGAAGAAAAAAAAGAAAAAAAGAAAAUGCAGUUAUAUCAACCAAAAUGUCCCUACAAAGUUGCCCAGAUUCAAAGGGUACAGUGAUAAGAGCUUGGACCUUCAAGUCAGAGAAUUUUAGUACUAUUGGACAAACCCCAGUGCACUAUUUAAGAAACAAUACAGUAAGUAUUUUCUUAUUAUUCACAAUGUGUAAUAUAGGAAUAGUUGAGUAGUUUGU
RNAcentral lists this long non-coding RNA (324 nucleotides) under Aotus nancymaae (Ma's night monkey). RNAcentral describes it as "lncRNA (ENSANAG00000039312.1)". The record is from RNAcentral. Lineage: Eukaryota; Metazoa; Chordata; Mammalia; Primates; Aotidae.